Conger conger (European conger) is the source of this 1894-nucleotide long non-coding RNA. RefSeq lists it as uncharacterized. The transcript has 3 exons. The record is from RefSeq and is a predicted model, not a curated record. Lineage: Eukaryota; Metazoa; Chordata; Actinopteri; Anguilliformes; Congridae.
CUUGGCUUCUUGCGCAAUUCAUUCACGUUUAAAGUAUCACAAUAUAGCCUAUAUUUGUUUUGCCCAACAGUCAUUGUAGUUCAUUUAUCUUUUGUACUGUGCAAUAUUGCCAGCUCAUUAUUAAAAGCACGUUUGUAACAUAAUGUCCACACAAUGACGGAGAAGUGGUUGCUGUCCGGAUUCGCGGAAGAGUGUUGUUUUGUUCGACACAGCAAACCUAUGUGCUUUCACUUUCGUCUAUGUACAAUCUUAACAAGUGCAAUUGCAGCCGGCUCUUCGUGUAUCAAUCUAAAGCGGCAACAUAUCUAAAGUGUUGGUAAUUUGGCAGUUGAUUGUGCGGAUAAAAUUGGGAAAUGUUUGCCAUGGGAAAAUGAGCACACCUGAAUAUUUAACCAUCAAUUUGACUAUAUAGCAUAUCAAGCCUUAUCUAAGCAAUAUACUGUAUUUCAGAAUACGUCUAACAGUAGGUUAAGACUCGCCGCUCUUCGUGCCCAGUCGUGAAUGAGCCGUGUGCAACAAUGGAAUUCACAUCUGACGAGAUGUUAUGGUUGGAAAAAAUUUCAUCGGAGGUCUGUGAAGAUUGUGAACUGUCCCCGCUGGAGAGGAUCCUCCGCGACAUGGCCAAGCCGAAGAAUGAGCUGGAGGAGAAGCUGUUUGAGCUAACGGCCUCCGUCAGGUUUGGCCUGGCCGAGCCGUCCAGCUUCCCGCAGAUUUAUCCACAGCAGUGCUCUAACAGUAUCGCCUCCUUGUCUCGGUGUGGGUAAAAUCGGCACUAAAUGGAAACAAAUUAGAAGUACAUGGAGCCUGCGAACGGGCACCAGGAAUGAAAGUGUCAAAUUUUCUCUUCCUUUUUUAAGAAUGGAUACUUCCGGUCUUCCUUGCUGAUUUUGAACAAUGGACAUUUCUGCAUUCCGCAUUUCUAUAACACAUUGGUUCUCCUGAUCAGGUUAACAUGGAUAUUGCGUCAAUCAAUCACUCAAUCAGUCAGCGAGUCAGUCAGUUCACUGUAAAUACACUCAUCAAAUCUGUAUGUCAUGUCCUACAGCUUAGCUGUAGGUGGAAGAAAAGCAUCCGUGAGCACAUGAAAUGCGGACGCAUUAAUCAGCGCUGAUGAAAACGGAGAGGCUGCGCUACUUCCAGCUACCGGAGAGAAAAUGGUAAACUACUGUCAAGGGGAACAUACCUUUAAUUGUUAUUGCUAAAGUGCCAUGUAAGUGGACAUGAAUUAUAUGAACUGGUGGCUAUCUGCUUUAAGUGCUUAGUUAAAUGUUCAGUUGGGAUCAAUUUGGGAGUUGGUCAGUGUGGUCAAUAAUGUUACAUCAAGAAUUGACUGCUCUGAACUAGACCCCUUGGGCCAUCUUCCGUUGAUGCUAAACAGGCUUUGGAAUUGUUGGGCUGCAGUCUGACGUGGAAACUCAGGGGAUGCAAAAACUUUGCCAGUUUUUUUAACUUUUGCUUCCCAGUACUCCGUUGAAAUGGAAAGUUGUCACUGUCGUUCUACGUCAAGGAGGAAAGGCACCAGCCAGACUGGGAAUUCAGGAAAUGUUGCAAAUCCAGAGCCAUUUCCAGGAAUAUGUCUUGUGUGAAGCUGCUGAAUUUGUUGGAUUCAGGAUUUGAGAAAUGAAGAAAAUGGAAAAUGCUCCUUUUUGCUUAUGGGAAGUUGUUUUUGGCUGCACCAAAUGUUGGCAUAGCAGACAGUGUGUUUAUUUUUAAAUAAGUUUGCUACAAGAGGACAGUGCGUAUGAGUGUGUACAUAAGAAUGUGUGUGUGUAUGUUUGUGUGUGAGAGAGACAGUGUGGACGUGCCUGGAUGUACAAGUGCAUAAAUACAAAAUAAUCAGUUGUGAUCAGGAAAUCAACUGCAUUUGAUUAAUAAAUGAAUGCCUUGCCAUUAA